CUACGGGGGGCUCCAGUGAGGAAUAUUGCACAAUGGGGGGAACCCUGAUGCAGCAACGCCGCGUGGAGGAUGACGCAUUUCGGUGUGUAAACUCCUUUUAUAUGUCAAGAAAAUGACGGUAGCAUAUGAAUAAGCACCGGCUAACUCCGUGCCAGCAGCCGCGGUAAUACGGAGGGUGCAAGCGUGUACUCGGAAUCACUGGGCGUAAAGGACGCGUAGGCGGGUUGGAAAGUCAGGUGUGAAAUCCUACAGCUUAACUGUAGAACUGCACUUGAAACUUCUAAUCUAGAGUAUGGGAGGGGGGGAUGGAAUUAGUGGUGUAGGGGUAAAAUCCGUAGAUAUCACUAGGAAUACCUAAAGCGAAGGCGAUCUCCUGGAACAUUACUGACGCUAAGGCGUGAAAGCGUGGGGAGCAAACAGGAUUAGAUACCCCAGUAGUC
This 440-nucleotide ribosomal RNA is filed under the name uncultured bacterium. RNAcentral's name for it is "partial 16S ribosomal RNA". It matches the Rfam family "Bacterial small subunit ribosomal RNA", at positions 339 to 795 of the family's 1533-position model. The record is from RNAcentral.